AGUUUUGCUCAGUGGCAGUAUCAUAGCCAAUGAGGUUUAUCUGAGGCGCGAUUAUUGCUAAUUGGACAU
This 69-nucleotide small nuclear RNA is filed under the name Rattus norvegicus (Norway rat). RNAcentral's name for it is "U4 spliceosomal RNA". It matches the Rfam family "U4 spliceosomal RNA", at positions 1 to 69 of the family's 138-position model. From Rfam's summary of the family: U4 small nuclear RNA (U4 snRNA) is a component of the major U2-dependent spliceosome. The structure of U4 snRNA from yeast and human has been reported. U4 snRNA presents a k-turn RNA motif in the 5p-SL related to recognition of Snu13 protein. Lineage: Eukaryota; Metazoa; Chordata; Mammalia; Rodentia; Muridae. The record is from Rfam by way of RNAcentral.